This 512-nucleotide ribosomal RNA is filed under the name uncultured bacterium. RNAcentral's name for it is "partial 16S ribosomal RNA". It matches the Rfam family "Bacterial small subunit ribosomal RNA", at positions 28 to 523 of the family's 1533-position model. The record is from RNAcentral.
GAUGAACGCUGGCGGCAUGCCUAGUACAUGCAAGUCGAACGAGAGGAAGGAAAGCUUGCUUUUCUGAAUCUAGUGGCGAACGGGUGAGUAACACGUAGGUAACCUGCCCAUGUGCCCGGGAUAACUUCUGGAAACGGAUGCUAAAACCGGAUAGGUAGCAGACAAGCAUUUGACUGCUAUUAAAGUGGCUAAGGCCAUGAACAUGGAUGGACCUGCGGUGCAUUAGCUAGUUGGUGAGGUAACGGCCCACCAAGGCGACGAUGCAUAGCCGGCCUGGGAGGGCGGACGGCCACAUUGGGACUGAGACACAGCCCAAACUCCUACGGGAGGCAGCAGUAGGGAAUUUUCGUCAAUGGGGGGAACCCUGAACGAGCAAUGCCGCGUGAGUGAGGAAGGUCUUCGGAUCGUAAAGCUCUGUUGUAAGAGAAAAACGACAUUCAUAGGGAAUGAUGAGUGAGUGAUGGUAUCUUACCAGAAAGUCACGGCUAACUACGUGCCAGCAGCCGCCGUAA